GCUGGGCAUAUACUAAAAUUGGAAGGAUACAGAGAAGAUUAGCAUGGCCCCUGAGCAAGGAUGACAUGCAAAUUUGUGAAGCAUGCCGUAUUUUU
Molecule: small nuclear RNA, 95 nt
Organism: Camelus dromedarius (Arabian camel)
Lineage: Eukaryota; Metazoa; Chordata; Mammalia; Artiodactyla; Camelidae
Source: Ensembl